Molecule: transfer RNA, 74 nt
Filed under: Sciadopitys verticillata
Lineage: Eukaryota; Viridiplantae; Streptophyta; Pinopsida; Cupressales; Sciadopityaceae
Description: tRNA-Asp
Rfam family: tRNA
About the family: Transfer RNA (tRNA) molecules are approximately 80 nucleotides in length. Their secondary structure includes four short double-helical elements and three loops (D, anti-codon, and T loops).
Source: RNAcentral
AAGGAAAUAGCUCAAUUGGUUAGAGUGCUGGUCUGUCACGCUAGAAGUCGCGGGUUCAAGUCCUGCUAUACCCA